RNAcentral lists this ribosomal RNA (482 nucleotides) under uncultured bacterium. RNAcentral describes it as "partial 16S ribosomal RNA". It matches the Rfam family "Bacterial small subunit ribosomal RNA", at positions 30 to 507 of the family's 1533-position model. The record is from RNAcentral.
AUUGAACGCUGGCGGCAUGCUUUACACAUGCAAGUCGAACGGUAACAGGCCGCAAGGUGCUGACGAGUGGCGCACGGGUGAGUAAUGCAUCGGAACGUGCCCAGUCUUGGGGGAUAACUACUCGAAAGAGUAGCUAAUACCGCAUACGAUCUAUGGAUGAAAGCGGGGGACCGUAAGGCCUCGCGCGAUUGGAGCGGCCGAUGUCAGAUUAGGUAGUUGGUGGGGUAAAGGCUCACCAAGCCAACGAUCUGUAGCUGGUCUGAGAGGACGACCAGCCACACUGGGACUGAGACACGGCCCAGACUCCUACGGGAGGCAGCAGUGGGGAAUUUUGGACAAUGGGCGCAAGCCUGAUCCAGCAAUGCCGCGUGCAGGAAGAAGGCCUUCGGGUUGUAAACUGCUUUUGUACGGAACGAAACGGCUCUGGUUAAUACCCGGGGCUAAUGACGGUACCGUAAGAAUAAGCACCGGCUAACUACGUG